GAAAUGCGAUAAGUAAUGUGAAUUGCAGAAUUCAGUGAAUCAUCGAAUCAUUGAACGCACCUUGCGCUCCUUGGUAUUCCUUGGAGCAUGCCUGUUUGAGUAUCAUGAAAUCUUCAAAGUAAAUCUUUUGUUAACUCAAUUGGUUUCUACUUUGGUAUUGGAGGUCUUUGCAGCUUCACACCUGCUCCUCUUUGUUCAUUAGCUGGAUCUCAGUGUUAUGCUUGGUUCCACUCGGCGUGAUAAGUUAUCUAUCGCUGAGGACACUGUAAAAGGUGGCCAAGGUAAAUGCAGAUGAACCGCUUCUAAUAGUCCAUUGACUUGGACAAUACUUUUAUGAUCUGAUCUCAAAUCAGGUAGGACUACCCGCUGAACUUAAGC
This 378-nucleotide unclassified non-coding RNA is filed under the name plant metagenome. RNAcentral's name for it is "partial contains 5.8S ribosomal RNA, internal transcribed spacer 2, and large subunit ribosomal RNA". The stretch from base 1 to 105 matches the Rfam family "5.8S ribosomal RNA", at positions 50 to 154 of the family's 154-position model. The record is from RNAcentral.